RNAcentral lists this unclassified non-coding RNA (249 nucleotides) under plant metagenome. RNAcentral's name for it is "partial contains small subunit ribosomal RNA and internal transcribed spacer 1". The stretch from base 1 to 46 matches the Rfam family "Eukaryotic small subunit ribosomal RNA", at positions 1786 to 1831 of the family's 1831-position model. The record is from RNAcentral.
AAGUCGUAACAAGGUUUCCGUAGGUGAACCUGCGGAAGGAUCAUUACCGAGUUAGGGUCCGCAAGGGCCCGACCUCCCACCCUUUGUUGUCGAACAAACCUUUUGUUGCUUCGGCGGGACCGUCCCCUUGGCCCUCGCGGGCUUCGGGGGGCUGCCGGGUCCCUCGACCGGGUAAGCGCCCGCCGGAGAAUCAUUAAAAUCCGACAUUUGAACAUUCUGUCUGAGUAGAUUUAUACAAAUCAAUCAAAA